UCAAUGAAGAGUUUGAUCCUGGCUCAGAACGAACGCUGGUGGCGUGUCUUAUACAUGCAAGUCGAGCGAGGCAGCAAUGCCGAGCGGCGAACGGGUGAGUAACGCGUAAGCAAUCUGCCCCGUAUCAGGAAAUACCCGUGCCAACGCGCGGUUAAUGUCCAGGAGAGUGGCCUUCCGCAUGGAAGGUUGACUAGAGAUUUAUCGGUA
This 207-nucleotide ribosomal RNA is filed under the name uncultured bacterium. RNAcentral describes it as "partial 16S ribosomal RNA". It matches the Rfam family "Bacterial small subunit ribosomal RNA", at positions 1 to 220 of the family's 1533-position model. The record is from RNAcentral.